Long non-coding RNA from Gasterosteus aculeatus aculeatus (three-spined stickleback), 991 nucleotides. NCBI's taxonomy places the organism in Eukaryota, Metazoa, Chordata, Actinopteri, Perciformes, Gasterosteidae. The record is from Ensembl.
UCAUUGCCUCGUCUCUCCAAUCAGCAGCCAAUAGGAACCAGAGGCUGAUGUCACCUGAUGCAUAUGAUGUCUUUAUGGGAGGACUUUGUCCCCGGAAACCGAUCCGACUUCUUCACUCACACGACAAGGUCACAGAGCUUCAUCAGUCCUCCUCAGAAGCACCGUCCUGUCCUCUGAUGAGCGGUAGCGGUCUUUCGGAAAAAGCCAGCUCCAUGGAGAAGGUCCUCCUGGGCAUGGCUUGUGUGUCAGUUGUCCUGCAGCUCGUUGGUUUCCGGGCUGCGUGGUGUAAAUGUAAAGAGGUGAAAACACUUCUUGAGGCACCUCCAGCAGAGGAUGGGAGAUGAGGCCCAUAUGGCUCAGAUGGUCUCCACACUAAUGCAGCAGAAGAAGGGAGAUGAGGACAAACUGGCUCAGAUGGUCUCCACUCUCCAGCAGCAAAAGGAAAAUGAGGUCAAACUGUCUCAGAUGGUCUCCACUCUCCAGCAGCAGAAGAAGGAAAAUGAGGUCAAACUGGCUCAGUUGGUUUCCAAAAUAAAGCAGCAUUGGACCGGACUGGAGGAAACCAAAGAUCAACUCGCAAGUCUACUUGAGAAGGUGAAGACUGAGAAGGUGGAGAACAAGAAGGAGCUUCAGUCUGUGGAGGAUGAAAUAAGGGAGAGAGAAAAGCAGUCGGACAAACCGAAGGAGUUAGUAACAGCCAAAGAGAACCUGCUGAAGGCUCAGUGGAAACUAGACGAGACAAAGAAGAACUAUGAGAGACUCAAAAUGAUGAUGGAGAACCUGAUGGAGCUCCAGAGUUCAUCUGUUCUACCUUGAUGAUCCCUGAUAACUUGAUGGAAGUCCUGUAUCUUUCUCUCUGGAUUAAAAGGUGAAGUGAACGUAUUUUUCUUGCAACGUGUUUUUUUACAGACAUGAAAAUAUUCAGUUUUUUUCUUUGUUCCAUCUUUCUUCCUUUUGUUGCCGUUAGUUUGAUGUAUAAAGUGAUAUGAGA